CACUGUAGUAGUUGUAGAUAUAUGACUAAGCUCUUUUUCCUGAAGUCUGAGCAGAAGUGAUGUGUACCUUCUGCCUUGAUUACUUAAGUGGGAACCUCUGGCUCUGGACAACUGUUCUUUCCCUCUCUUCAUGGGCUGAAAUGGCAAUGAUCAUGUGAUUAGAUUUUUGAACGAUGUUAACUUUAGCUUUGCCAGCGCAUAUUUUGUAUCCCUAUGAUGUGUCUAGUAUUGCCUGAAUUUGAAAGAUGAUGAACCAAGACAUCACAUUAAAUACCUUUCUUCAGGUCACACACUUCAAGCUGCUUCAGUCUUUCACUCGACAGCAGGAAUUUAAUGACAGCUGUUGCAAGGAUUAUGAUGAGAGAUUUCCUACUUGAACUGAUCGUGUGGACAAGCUAAUAGCUUUGAUGUGUCAUUGUUAGGUACAGUCUAGUGCUGGCAACAGAAAAACUAGUAUUAUUAUCAUUCAUC
This is a long non-coding RNA of Eptesicus fuscus (big brown bat), 471 nucleotides long. RefSeq lists it as uncharacterized. The transcript has 4 exons. NCBI's taxonomy places the organism in Eukaryota, Metazoa, Chordata, Mammalia, Chiroptera, Vespertilionidae. The record is from RefSeq and is a predicted model, not a curated record.